This 468-nucleotide ribosomal RNA is filed under the name uncultured bacterium. RNAcentral's name for it is "partial 16S ribosomal RNA". It matches the Rfam family "Bacterial small subunit ribosomal RNA", at positions 28 to 507 of the family's 1533-position model. The record is from RNAcentral.
GACGAACGCUGGCGGCGUGCUUAACACAUGCAAGUCGAACGGAAAGGCCCUGCUUUUGUGGGGUGCUCGAGUGGCGAACGGGUGAGUAACACGUGAGUAACCUGCCCUUGACUUUGGGAUAACUUCAGGAAACUGGGGCUAAUACCGGAUAGGAGCUCCUGCUGCAUGGUGGGGGUUGGAAAGUUUCGGCGGUUGGGGAUGGACUCGCGGCUUAUCAGCUUGUUGGUGGGGUAGUGGCUUACCAAGGCUUUGACGGGUAGCCGGCCUGAGAGGGUGACCGGCCACAUUGGGACUGAGAUACGGCCCAGACUCCUACGGGAGGCAGCAGUGGGGAAUAUUGCGCAAUGGGCGGAAGCCUGAUGCAGCAACGCCGCGUGCGGGAUGACGGCCUUCGGGUUGUAAACCGCUUUCGCCUGUGACGAAGCGUGAGUGACGGUAAUGGGUAAUGAAGCACCGGCUAACUACGUG